UACGUAGGUGGCAAGCGUUGUCCGGAUUUACUGGGCGUAAAGAGCGCGCAGGCGGUCGAAUAAGUCGAAUGUGAAAGCCCCCGGCUUAACUGGGGAGGGUCAUUCGAUACUGCUCGACUUGAAGGCAGGAGAGGGUAGUGGAAUUCCCGGUGUAGUGGUGAAAUGCGUAGAUAUCGGGAGGAACACCAGUGGCGAAGGCGACUACCUGGCCUGUUCUUGACGCUGAGGCGCGAAAGCUGGGGGAGCAAAACGG
RNAcentral lists this ribosomal RNA (253 nucleotides) under uncultured bacterium. RNAcentral's name for it is "partial 16S ribosomal RNA". It matches the Rfam family "Bacterial small subunit ribosomal RNA", at positions 524 to 776 of the family's 1533-position model. The record is from RNAcentral.